Salvia splendens (bonfire salvia) is the source of this 313-nucleotide long non-coding RNA. RefSeq lists it as uncharacterized. The transcript has 3 exons. Lineage: Eukaryota; Viridiplantae; Streptophyta; Magnoliopsida; Lamiales; Lamiaceae. The record is from RefSeq and is a predicted model, not a curated record.
UGCUAUACCGUGGCUUUCACUUGCCAAAAGGAGAAGCUUACAUAUACAUAUAUAUCUUAGCCUUUCCUUUUCAACACUCCUCACUCUGGAGAAAAAUCACACACACGCCUAACACUAAGAAUCUGGGGAUAAGAAGUACGAGGGAAGGAAUGAAAUUUUCGCAAUACUAAGGCCCACAACUAACACUCACAUCAAGGCUAUCUCCGCGAGUUAAGGGCGGAGUCACGAAAAUUCAAGUUAAAGAAACUAAACGAUCAAGGUUGAGCAGCGAAGUGGUGGGGGAAGUGCUAUUGAGACAAGGCAUUUAAUUCGG